This 511-nucleotide ribosomal RNA is filed under the name uncultured bacterium. Its description in RNAcentral is "partial 16S ribosomal RNA". It matches the Rfam family "Bacterial small subunit ribosomal RNA", at positions 28 to 523 of the family's 1533-position model. The record is from RNAcentral.
GACGAACGCUGGCGGCGUGCCUAAUACAUGCAAGUCGAGCGAAUCAAUGGGAGCUUGCUCCCUGAGAUUAGCGGCGGACGGGUGAGUAACACGUGGGUAACCUGCCUGUAAGACUGGGAUAACUUCGGGAAACCGGAGCUAAUACCGGAUACGUUCUUUUCUCGCAUGAGAAGAGAUGGAAAGAUGGUUCUGCUAUCACUUACAGAUGGACCCGCGGCGCAUUAGCUAGUUGGUGAGGUAACGGCUCACCAGGGCGACGAUGCGUAGCCGACCUGAGAGGGUGAUCGGCCACACUGGGACUGAGACACGGCCCAGACUCCUACGGGAGGCAGCAGUAGGGAAUCUUCCGCAAUGGACGAAAGUCUGACGGAGCAACGCCGCGUGAGCGAAGAAGGCCUUCGGGUCGUAAAGCUCUGUUGUUAGGGAAGAACAAGUACGAGAGUAACUGCUCGUACCUUGACGGUACCUAACCAGAAAGCCACGGCUAACUACGUGCCAGCAGCCGCAGUAA